Molecule: long non-coding RNA, 495 nt
Organism: Vidua chalybeata
Lineage: Eukaryota; Metazoa; Chordata; Aves; Passeriformes; Viduidae
Exons: 2
Source: RefSeq, a predicted model, not a curated record
CAUGCUCUGAAGAGCCGCCGCCGAGGAAGAUGCGGCUCAGCAGCGGCCUCGCCAGCCGAGAGGCGGCCGGGUGAGCUCCUCGCCCCUCCAGCCUCCGCCCGGUGCGCGUCCCUCGGAGCCUUCUGGAACAGCGUUAACCCCUGCGAGCCCGGCGCGGAGCACGGAGCGGUCACGGAGCCGGCGGGGCCGGGGACGGGAAUGGGGGAACACGGGAGGGGGCUCCGAGGGGCUGUCCCGCUGCCGGGACGCGGCUGAUCCCCCUGUCAGGACCUGUGUCCUUCCCCCUGUCAGGACCCGUGUCCUUCCCGCCGCCGGGACCUGCGAUGCUCCCGGUAACGCACGCGGUGUCCCCAGGGGGAUGAGAGGGGUCCUGUCCCCCCGCUUGUGUCGUGUCCCCUCGGUCCGAGGCCGCUCGUCUGGGCUUAAUUUUAGGAAGUGGCUUCUAUUUUUGAUGAGCCAUGUUCAGGGAGUGGAAUAAAGAGGAAUGCCACAGGA